GAGUUUGAUUAUGGCUCAGGACGAACGCUGGCGGCGUGCCUAAUACAUGCAAGUAGAACGCUGAAGGAAUAGCUUGCUAUUCUGGAAGAGUUGCGAACGGGUGAGUAACGCGUAGGUAACCUACCUCAUAGCGGGGGAUAACUAUUGGAAACGAUAGCUAAUACCGCAUAAGAAUACUUAUUGCAUGAUAAGUAUUUAAAAGGAACAACAGUUUCACUGUGAGAUGGACCUGCGUUGUAUUAGCUAGUUGGUAAGGUAACGGCUUACCAAGGCGACGAUACAUAGCCGACCUGAGAGGGUGAUCGGCCACACUGGGACUGAGACACGGCCCAGACUCCUACGGGAGGCAGCAGUAGGGAAUCUUCGGCAAUGGGGGCAACCCUGACCGAGCAACGCCGCGUGAGUGAAGAAGGUUUUCGGAUCGUAAAGCUCUGUUGUCAGCCAAGAAUGUAUGUGAGAGUGGAAAGUUCACAUAG
Molecule: ribosomal RNA, 476 nt
Filed under: Streptococcus sp. canine oral taxon 279
Lineage: Bacteria; Bacillati; Bacillota; Bacilli; Lactobacillales; Streptococcaceae
Description: bacterial SSU rRNA
Rfam family: Bacterial small subunit ribosomal RNA
Source: RNAcentral